AUUACCUAAAAUAUUUAUCCUUUUAUUAGAGCAGCUGUAUCACACAUUAACUACAUAGCAAAUUUUUAAUACCUACUGCACUACACAUUUUGAACAGCAAAACUUUGUGGAAAAAUAACAAGAAAAGUGACAAACUUACCCUAAGCCCAAGAAAACCAGAAGUGAGUAGUGAUUUUGGUGCUCUGGAAGAUACACACUGUAAUAGUCUUUCUGUGGCUACUGUGUGUAGUUUUUACCACAUUUAUUGUCUAAUAAUCUUUCCAAGUGUUACUGGUCCAAACCUUCCCUUCUUGACCAUUUUGUUCACUGUUCUGCUACACCAUUAAAAUACUGGAUAAAAUACUGGGUGAGAAUCACCUCUGCUGCCUGUCUCUGUUGCAGAUGUCUCCAGAGAGGUGACCCUGACCAGGCCAGAGCACGCUGCACUUGCUGCUUUCCCUGCACUGCUGGGCUGGUGGAAUUGCUACCAAGACACGAAGAAGAGACUAUUAGAAAUAUGAAGGCUGCGCUACUAUGACUCAAUCCUAGGCUGUCAUACAGGUCAAUGAGCACUCAUGACUUGGUAAGCAUUUCUAGCUAUCAAACACAUUACCUUGUAAAAAUGAUAAACUGGAAUGUCAAAUAUUUCAGUGAUGAAUGGGAAGUUUCCAGGUGGGUUGUAUGUAAAGGUAAUGAUCUCCAGGCAACACGCCAGCAGAGACCUGUGAAACACAUCUUGCUCCAGUAUUGCCUGCAAGAGUUGCAAAUUUUAAAGUUUAUUUUACAGUGUAACUAGAGAGAAAAUAAAACACUUUUUAUUGUCUCAACAGCAAGAUUCUCAAGCUUACAAAAAGUGAAACUAUUUUUUAAGGGACUGAACAGAGUUCAAAAUGAGCCAUCUUUAGUCAUUAAAAAUUUACUCUGUGCUUGCAAACACAAUUUCUUAAACCUUUUCCUUCCAUUCAGGUGUAUUUACAGGGUUCUUCUCAGAGAUGUACCCUCAUUUUAAAUAACUGACAAUUCUGCUCUACAUUUGUGAUCUUUUUUUGCAGGUCCAAUUUCAAAAAUGAAGUACCCUUUGUUUAGUUUUCCUUACAGAUAAGUCAGUGUCUCUCAGUCUCUUCCUCUCUUGCUCAAUGACUGACUCCAAGACCUUGUAGUAGAGCAUCUCAGCACGACGAAAAUGUUUACUAGCAACAUCUGCAGGAAGUUUAAAUAGAAGCAAUAUUGUAAAAUGCAAGAAAAAAGUAUUAUAAUCUUCAGAUACAGAAAUGCAACAGCAGCUUGUGUAGAUUUCUGUGCUGCUGUGGAUACAAUACUUUCAGGACUAAAACAGUUAAUUUCAAGUUAAUGUAGGAAUCCUUCUCCUACACUGCCCUGAUCUGUGAAUGCAGAGCAGAGUAACUUGCUACCAAACCCAGAUUAUGGUGACAGGGCCAUGUAUAAGAACAACCCUUAACAUUGCUGUAACAGACACAAUUGAAAUUGAGAAAAUGCACCUGUAUGGAUCCACCUUGCACUGUGCAAAAAAAGCACUGAAGCUACUAAACUGGCAUGAACAAAGGAAGGCCUUAUUAAGAAACAAGGUCAAGAGCAUCUUCCUUAUAUUCAAUCCAUCUUCAGGCACUUCAGAUAUCAAGACAACUUUGCAAAUCAUGUUUUUGUGUUUAUACUGGCAGGAUUUUAAUACCUGUACUAAUCCAUCUUCAUAUGUAAGCCCAAGUUGCUGUUGGGUUUUUAAAGACUACAGUUACUCAGAUUUUCUUUACCAGCACAGAAAUCCAUGCCAUCACUUAUAUUCUUUUAUUUGAGAGAAGAAGUGGUACACUUCAAAGUCCUUUUCAUUGCACUUCUCUAGUGCUGAAAGUGUGAUCAAAUUCCAGUGAUUCAAGCUAAGGCUGAUUAUAAAAUUUUACACAACAUUGGAAUUUUCUAUAUCUUAAGAACACAGGAAAAGGCAAAAGAGGUAGAAAAGACACUUGUGCUAAAGCAAAACCUGUAUGUAAAACUUAAUUAUAAGAGAUGGAUGUAUUUACAGGCAUUUUAUGGAUAAGGUAAAUGUUUCCCACCUUUGGAAAAAUUACUGAAUUCUCCUUCAGACUGAGUGCUCUGACAGUACACUUCAUGCAUUUCUUUCAGUCUGUUUGCAAUGGAUUGAGAAGGAUCUCUGGAGCAUGACCUGAAAAUAAAAACUAAACAUUUUCAAUAUACUAUUCCUACUAAGACCAAAACCACCCUAUAUUUUAUAUGCUGAAAGCAUAAAAAAUGCAAAUAUAUUGCACAGCAAUACAAACAGACCCAAAUGUGCCUAACUGCAAACCAGUUUAUGCACAUGGAGAAUAAAGUUUGGUUUGCAUAUCCCACAGUAUGGGGUGAUUUCCUAGGUAGUGCCAUUAGGUAAUGGUAAGAAAAUUUUAUACUGGCAACUUGUGGUUAGAGAAGCUCAUAACUGCUGGGUUUUAAAUAGUAGGUGUUCAUCAAUCUCUAAGGACAGAUGAGUCUAAAUAAAGAGAAUAGUCUUUCAAAAUGUAAA
Long non-coding RNA from Parus major (Great Tit), 2512 nucleotides. RefSeq lists it as uncharacterized. The transcript has 2 exons. The record is from RefSeq and is a predicted model, not a curated record. Lineage: Eukaryota; Metazoa; Chordata; Aves; Passeriformes; Paridae.